CGGCAUGUAGCUCAGUGGUAGAGCAAUCAGCAAUUAGCUGAUGUGUCGUGGGUUCGAUUCCCAAUCUUGCCGA
This 73-nucleotide transfer RNA is filed under the name Bacteriophage sp. RNAcentral describes it as "tRNA-Asn". It matches the Rfam family "tRNA". Rfam says of the family: Transfer RNA (tRNA) molecules are approximately 80 nucleotides in length. Their secondary structure includes four short double-helical elements and three loops (D, anti-codon, and T loops). Further hydrogen bonds mediate the characteristic L-shaped molecular structure. tRNAs have two regions of fundamental functional importance: the anti-codon, which is responsible for specific mRNA codon recognition, and the 3' end, to which the tRNAs corresponding amino acid is attached (by aminoacyl-tRNA synthetases). tRNAs cope with the degeneracy of the genetic code in two manners: having more than one tRNA (with a specific anti-codon) for a particular amino acid; and 'wobble' base-pairing, i.e. permitting non-standard base-pairing at the 3rd anti-codon position. The record is from RNAcentral.